AAAUUAGAAGUAAAUUUGAAGAAUGAUAUAUCAGAUGAGGAAUGCAUCACUGAUAAACUAUUAGUGCUCUCUCUGGGUGCUUAACCAUCAAAUGCCUAUACAUCAGGUAAUUGCUUAUAUCUAUAUCAAAUGCAAUGUAAUUUGUGGCAUCUCCAAUUUUGGCCCAGGUUUUCCAAUUGUGUUGAUAUGAAAGUGAUUAAUGCAGUUGUCACAGUGGACAGAAAUUAUCACAUCUGCUGUAAAUUUAUUGAUAUGAACAUUAUUCAGCUGUUUAAACAUUUAGCUUCUCUUUCAGAGGAUAUCUAGCAAUAUAGACUUAGAAUCUCUAUUAGGAGUAUGGGGUUUGAAUUCCACUGGAUUUUGUCGGAGAAUUUUAUUGGAGGGGGGAGAGCUACUCUUCAUUGUGUAGCUCAUCCAAUGAACCAAUGAAAGAAAGGAAGAAAAACAUUUAGCUUGAAUAUAAUGUUUGGAACUUAAAAUGCCCUUUUCUUUUUUGUUGUAUAUUAUCAAAUGAAUUUGACUUUGUAUCCAAUUUGGGGCUCUCCUUUUGUGGAUUUCCGUAGCCAUUUGUAAAGUUGGCUACAUGUCUAGUCUACUCUUUUUUUGAGACUUUUAUGCUUAGGAUAUAGGAAACACAUUCAUAUGGAGUUGCAUCCUACUUUGAAAUUUAAUUCAUCCAUUUAUUGUAGAGAGAGUAUUUUUGGUCUGGUUGCUUUGCAAGGAAGGUGUACAUGUCUGAAUACAUCUUCAUUUACUCUCUCAUUAUUGCUGUUUCAUGAACUUCCAUUCUGAACAUUGUCUUCUGAAAGAGCCUGGUCUUCCAUUCUGAACAUUGUCUUCUGAAAGAGCCUGGUCCAAACCCAAAUAACUUUUGUACUCACUUUCGAUUUGGCUUAAAAUGAUUAACCUAAAUUAUUUAGUAAUUUCGUGCUAGCUAUAUACAAUUUUAAUUUUUCAUAAACAGCUAAUGUGGAAUUCUUUCGUAAACCGCCUGAUGGGUGAUUCUUUCCCAGCAGGCAGCUGAACGUGUCACAUCUUCUGAUCUAAACUUUUCUUCCUCCACGUAGUGAUUACUUAUUCCUGCAAGUUUGUAGAAUUUGGACAAACAAGGGGAAGUAUUAGUGACAGGGUGGCAGAUGUAGGUAACCGCGUGGAUAGUAAUAGGAAAGCACUGGAUAUUCUUAUUUUCAUUAUUGUAAUUAUUGUGUUUUAGCAUGCCCCUUUAUCCUUGGAUUUCCUUUGUUUGAUGCCCCCUCUUCAGAUUUUAAAGUGGUAAAAUAAUUUAUUUUGAAAUUCCAUGCCAUCGAUCAACAAUAAAGCAGUUAGGAAGCUCGAUACAAACAUUCUUCAGGUAUUACCAGAGGAAAGAUGCUCUAUUUUGAAAUUGUGUGCCAUCGAUUGACAAUGAACCUGCUGGAAACCUCCCCGUUACAGAUAUUAAAAAAGCGAACUGAAUCAUUACGAAGAACUUCUAUCUGCCUGUGAAGGUAAGUCCAAUGUCAUUCUCUUUACUGUUGCUUUUAACAGACUACAAGGACCGUUAACACUCAUUAUAUUUAUAUUUUUAUUUUUAUUUUUGGGUAAGUUCAAGUAAUAUCAGAACAUUUUGCAUACAGUUCUUAUUUCAUCCGCAUUGUUGCACUUUAUGCGAUACAUUACAAGCCCACAAAAUAUCCUGUUGUGCACUUCAAAGCCCAAGAGUUGAGGAAUCAUGCCACUGUAACCCUUCAAUAAUAGAAGGGAAAAAGUAUGUGGCUUCUAUGCAUCAGUUGUUCGGUAGAUUGGAGAAUGAUAAUUGGAGAAGCCACAUCUAUAGACUUGUGCAGAAAAAGAUGCACCUGCCUGGAAUGUGGAAAAUUGAGCUUGCAUAAUAGUAUAAAUUUGAGAAUCUGAGCUAUGGUGCUGGAGCUUUAUGAUAGGUAAAGAUGCAUUUUUUGAUCUCAUAUAUCUAGUUUCUCAAUUUUCAAACUCGUAUCUUUGUUGAGAAAUCCCGAGAUUAUUGCAAUCCAAAAACGCA
Molecule: long non-coding RNA, 2017 nt
Filed under: Manihot esculenta (cassava)
Lineage: Eukaryota; Viridiplantae; Streptophyta; Magnoliopsida; Malpighiales; Euphorbiaceae
Description: long non-coding RNA (MESC_LNC000542)
Source: RNAcentral